This 262-nucleotide ribosomal RNA is filed under the name uncultured bacterium. RNAcentral describes it as "partial 16S ribosomal RNA". It matches the Rfam family "Bacterial small subunit ribosomal RNA", at positions 524 to 784 of the family's 1533-position model. The record is from RNAcentral.
UACGUAGGGUGCAAGCGUUAAUCGGAAUUACUGGGCGUAAAGCGUGCGCAGGCGGUUUUGUAAGUCUGACGUGAAAUCCCCGGGCUCAACCUGGGAAUUGCGUUGGAGACUGCAAGGCUGGAGUCUGGCAGAGGGGGGUAGAAUUCCACGUGUAGCAGUGAAAUGCGUAGAGAUGUGGAGGAACACCGAUGGCGAAGGCAGCCCCCUGGGUCAAGAUUGACGCUCAUGCACGAAAGCGUGGGGAGCAGAACAGGAUUAGACU